This 534-nucleotide ribosomal RNA is filed under the name Hypselobarbus micropogon (Korhi barb). RNAcentral describes it as "partial 16S ribosomal RNA". It matches the Rfam family "Bacterial large subunit ribosomal RNA", at positions 1908 to 2597 of the family's 2925-position model. Lineage: Eukaryota; Metazoa; Chordata; Actinopteri; Cypriniformes; Cyprinidae. The record is from RNAcentral.
UGACCAUAAGUUUAACGGCCGCGGUAUUUUGACCGUGCAAAGGUAGCGCAAUCACUUGUCUUUUAAAUAAAGACCUGUAUGAAUGGCCAAACGAGGGCUUAACUGUCUCCCUUUUCAAGUCAAUGAAAUUGAUCUACCCGUGCAGAAGCGGGUAUAAUAAUACAAGACGAGAAGACCCUUUGGAGCUUAAGGUACAAAACUCAACCACGUUAAGCAACUCAAUGAAAAGCAAAAACUUUGUGAAACAUGAAAUUUUACCUUCGGUUGGGGCGACCGCGGAGGAGAAAAAAGCCUCCAAGUGGAAUGGAACAAACUCCUAAAACCAAGAGAAACAUCUCUAAGCCACAGAACAUCUGACCAAACAUGAUCCGGCCCAAUAGAGCCGAUCAACGAACCAAGUUACCCUAGGGAUAACAGCGCAAUCCCCUCCCAGAGUCCAUAUCGACGAGGGGGUUUACGACCUCGAUGUUGGAUCAGGACAUCCUAAUGGUGCAGCCGCUAUUAAGGGUUCGUUUGUUCAACGAUUAAAGUCCU